GACGAACGCUGGCGGCGUGCCUAAUACAUGCAAGUAGAACGCACAGUUUAUACCGUAGCUUGCUACACCAUAGACUGUGAGUUGCGAACGGGUGAGUAACGCGUAGGUAACCUGCCUGGUAGCGGGGGAUAACUAUUGGAAACGAUAGCUAAUACCGCAUAAUAUUGAUUAUUGCAUGAUAAUUGAUUGAAAGAUGCUAUUGCAUCACUACCAGAUGGACCUGCGUUGUAUUAGCUAGUAGGUGAGGUAACGGCUCACCUAGGCGACGAUACAUAGCCGACCUGGGAGGGUGAUCGGCCACACUGGGACUGAGACACGGCCCAGACUCCUACGGGAGGCAGCAGUAGGGAAUCUUCGGCAAUGGACGAAAGUCUGACCGAGCAACGCCGCGUGAGUGAAGAAGGUCUUCGGAUCGUAAAGCUCUGUUGUAAGAGAAGAACGGGUGUGAGAGUGGAAAGUUCACACUGUGACGGUAUCUUACCAGAAAGGGACGGCUAACUACGUG
RNAcentral lists this ribosomal RNA (505 nucleotides) under uncultured bacterium. RNAcentral's name for it is "partial 16S ribosomal RNA". It matches the Rfam family "Bacterial small subunit ribosomal RNA", at positions 28 to 507 of the family's 1533-position model. The record is from RNAcentral.